Molecule: long non-coding RNA, 1383 nt
Filed under: Homo sapiens (human)
Lineage: Eukaryota; Metazoa; Chordata; Mammalia; Primates; Hominidae
Description: HSALNT0165777
Source: RNAcentral
AAAAAAAAAAUUCCAAUUAAAACAGAUAACCUUUUUUAAACCUAACAACUAGUCUUUUACUUAUGCCAUUCAGUUUAGAGAGAGUGUGGAAAACUUCUGAUAGGAAUAUAUUUCAGGAUAACCUUUCUGAGAACAUUUUAAAAGUAGGAUUCAAGAGCACACACAGAUGAUGGAAUCCUGUGUAGUUGAUAUGAUUUAAUCUAUGUUGAUUGAUUUGGAAAGACAUAUAUGGCAAAUUGUGGAGUAAAAAAAGUACUCACUAGAUACUGGCCUAUAUGGAAUGGUCCCAUUUAUGUAAAAUUGUGUAUGUGCAUGCACAGAUCUGUCUUCUAUCAGGGUAUCUGGAAAAUGUUCAACAAAAUAGUAACAAUGGUUAUCUGUUUUGUUUUGUUUUUUCAGAGACAGGGUCUUGCUGUAUUGCCCAGGCUGGAGUACAGUGGUGCAAUCAUAGCUCACUGUAGCCUCUAACUCCUGGGCUCAUGCCACACAAUCCUCCCGCCUCAGCCUCCUGAGUAGCUGGGACUACAGGCAUGUACCACCUUGCUUGGCUCUCGUUAUCUGUUGAUACUGGAAUUUCUGCUUUUUUCCUGGUACAGAUACAUACGUACAAGUACUUUGACCCCAAAAUUCUAUUUUCUUAGAAUAAAUUCCCAGAAGGAAUGAAAGAUGUGUGCAAAGACUAUCAAUGAGAAUGUUGGCCAGACGUGGUAGUCUACACCUGUAAUCGCAGCACUUUGGGAGGCUGAGGCAAAGGGGAUCACUUGAGGCCAGGAGUUUAGACCAGCCUGGGCAACAUGGCAAAAACAUGUCUCUACAAAAAAUACAAAAAGUAUCCAGGUAUGGAGGCAUAUGCCUGUAGUCCCAGCUACUCAUAGGAAGCUGAGGCAGGAGGAUCACUUGAGCCCAGGGAGGUUGAGGCUGCAGUGAGCCAUGAUCACACCACUGCACUCCAACCUGGUUAACAGAGUGUCUCUAAAAAUAAAAUAAAAUAAGAUGUAGAUACAUGCAGGAGGCUGAGGUGAUGGAUCACUUGAGCCCAGGAGUUUGAGUCCAGCCUGGGCAACAUUGAAAGACUAUAUAUUUUAAAGUAGACACAUGUAUAAAAUCACACAUGCAUAAAACAACUGAAGGAAUAUCUAUUAAAAUGUUGGCAGCAAUUAGCUUUGGUUGGUAGAAUAACAGAAGGGUUACUUUUCUCACUUCGUUCAUCCAUAUUUUCCAAAGUUUAAAAAAAAAAGAAACGGCCUGGUGCAGUGGCUCAUGCCUAUAGUCCUAGCACUUUGGGAGGCCAAGGCAAGAGGGUCGAUUGAGUCCAGGAGCUCAAGACCAGCCUGGGCAACGUAGGGAGACCCUGUCUCUACAAAAAAUAAAAAAUCAGUUGUU